CCUACGGGAGGCAGCAGUGGGGAAUUUUGGACAAUGGGCGAAAGCCUGAUCCAGCAAUGCCGCGUGCAGGAUGAAGGCCUUCGGGUUGUAAACUGCUUUUGUACGGAACGAAACGGUUCGCCUUAAUACGGUGGGCUAAUGACGGUACCGUAAGAAUAAGCACCGGCUAACUACGUGCCAGCAGCCGCGGUAAUACGUAGGGUGCGAGCGUUAAUCGGAAUUACUGGGCGUAAAGCGUGCGCAGGCGGUUAUAUAAGACAGAUGUGAAAUCCCCGGGCUCAACCUGGGACCUGCAUUUGUGACUGUAUAGCUAGAGUACGGUAGAGGGGGAUGGAAUUCCGCGUGUAGCAGUGAAAUGCGUAGAUAUGCGGAGGAACACCGAUGGCGAAGGCAAUCCCCUGGACCUGUACUGACGCUCAUGCACGAAAGCGUGGGGAGCAAACAGGAUUAGAUACCCUGGUAGUCCACGCCCUAAACGAUGUCAACUGGUUGUUGGGUCUUCACUGACUCAGUAACGAAGCUAACGCGUGAAGUUGACCGCCUGGGGAUACGGCCGCAAGGUUGAAACUUAAAGGGAAUUGACGGCUGAGAGNGCGACGACGACGACGAGGGAGGAGG
RNAcentral lists this ribosomal RNA (618 nucleotides) under uncultured bacterium. RNAcentral's name for it is "bacterial SSU rRNA". It matches the Rfam family "Bacterial small subunit ribosomal RNA", at positions 338 to 951 of the family's 1533-position model. The record is from RNAcentral.